RNAcentral lists this long non-coding RNA (207 nucleotides) under Panax ginseng (ginseng). RNAcentral's name for it is "long non-coding RNA (PGIN_LNC016028)". The record is from RNAcentral. Lineage: Eukaryota; Viridiplantae; Streptophyta; Magnoliopsida; Apiales; Araliaceae.
GACACUUUUAUUAUAAAUUUAACCAUUUCUUAUAUUUAUCGUUCUAUUUGGUCAAAAAAAAGAAUACUAAUAAGAAAAAAACAAAAACAAUGCCGACAAGUUAACUAUAAAGGUACUAAGAUGACGGAGAUUUCUGUCAGCAGAAAUUCAGAGGAAAAGUCUAAUCAUCAAAAGCCAAACUAAUAAGAUAUUUGAUGAGACUACGUG